CGAUGAAUGAGAGCAAGAAGAAAAAGUAGUGGGAUAUUCUAGCCAAAACAAGAGUUUAUGCGAUCUCAAUUCCUAAAAUUAUAUAUUUCUAUAUUAUUGUUAAUCAUUACUACAAUCUUGAGUUUUCUGAAUUCUAGAACGGUGACCCGACCAACCAAUUAUAACCCUAGUUUACACACAUGUUGGAUACAUGAAUUCAAUUUACUAGGUUUAUAGCUAACGAAUAGUUGAGGGAAAUAGGACGGUAGAAAAGCGUGACGUUAUAUACUAAACGAAUUUUUUAACAACCGUCAAUAAAUCGUUAAAAAAUUGGAAUUAUCCGUCUCUUCAAUUAUUCCGCUCCGUUGGCCGGACAGACCACAAAUUAAAAAAUUCGUUUAUGGUCAUUACGAACGAUGCUAGGACGAACACCAAUCAAGACGAGAAGUUCCGCAUCCCGAGAGGGUCGCUCCCCAACCGGAUCCGCAAAGAAGGCCGCUGGCGAUCAGAGGAGCUGUAAGUGCUGCAAUGAGAAUGACGACUCUCGGAUGGUCCAAUGUGAUCGAUGUGACAAUUGGUAUCAUUUUCAAUGUGUGGACGUGGGCCAGGAUGUCGCGGACCGCGAUUGGAUUUGCUCUGAUUGCCAGUUUGCUGCUAAAGGAGCCAAACCAAAAAUUACAUCCCAUGUUGCCUUUACGGAAAACGACGUGAGUACGUCAUCUCUUCCGUGUCCCGCCAUUAGGGUGACAUCGGUGCCUUUGAAUCUCGUUCCCCAAAUGCCAAGUAAUAUACCCACUUCGCCAAGCGCUACCACAAGUACAAAUGUGAACGAGCUGUUAAUGCACGUUAACACCAAUACGAUGUUUCCACCACUAUCUCCAAAUUUAUUAAAUCCAUCAAGAAUCUCUACGGUAAUUCCCGGUGGCCCGUCAUCCAACACGCAUUUAGCGCCAAGCACUUGCAACGUUGUUGCUUCCAA
This is a long non-coding RNA of Armigeres subalbatus, 958 nucleotides long. RefSeq lists it as uncharacterized. The record is from RefSeq and is a predicted model, not a curated record. The transcript has 4 exons. NCBI's taxonomy places the organism in Eukaryota, Metazoa, Arthropoda, Insecta, Diptera, Culicidae.